UUCCAAACAGACCCUCAAUUGUUUCUGUUCUUCCUCUGCCGUUUCUUUCAUCUACUAUCCAAGAUUCUGAUAUUCACCCAGUGUGAAGUUAGGAAUCUUCAGCUACUUAUACCAGAAUUUUUGCUACAGAUAUUCUUGGCAACAUAUAAACGACACUCCUCCAUCAUAUGCCUUAAAUGGAAGUAGAAUCCAAGAGUUCAUCAUCAUCGAUUAUCAGUUUUAGGCCAAUUUGUCUGGUGGGAAUAGAUAAGCGCCAUCACACAUAAUUCUGUACCAACAACUUCGACUCACCCUCAUCUCUAGCUAGUGUCCAGCACAUCAAAUUUCAGGGGAUUGAGGUUGAGGAUCACAGUCGUACACGUGGCUAGUGAGCUUCCAUUCCGACAACCUUUUGGUUUGAGUUCUAGCUAUCGACGUUAAUUAGAGCCAGCUGCGGUCAUGAUCGGAGACCCACGAGCUCGAGAAGUAUACGUUGGAAAUUUAGAUAGAAUUCAAGGUACAGAUAAUCGUUUUGGGAAUCCGCCAGCUUAGGAUUUCCACUCAGCUAUUUUGGAGUGCUCUAUUGUACCGGAGCCUAGAUUUUGGUACCGAUCCUCUUGAUGUAUAAAUAUGUUUAUUCAGGGGUACGGCAGGGGCUCUGUCCCGCCAUAUGAUAUUAUUGAUACUCUUAGAGGUUUGUAGAUAUAUGUGUGGGUUGUGUAUAAGUUUGUCUAGCUGAUUCUAUACGAUGUGCUAUGGAUAUUGACAUGUAAUGGCAGCCUUGUCGGCUUGUGCUUCCUUUCAUGAUAUAAUGGUGGUGACUCUUCCGGAGACAAAUGAUAUGGAUGUAUUAUAUGAAAAUAUUAUGAACCAUUGGAGUUCUUAUGUAAGUUAUCAUAUUGUUCGUGGUU
Long non-coding RNA from Solanum dulcamara, 890 nucleotides. RefSeq lists it as uncharacterized. The record is from RefSeq and is a predicted model, not a curated record. The transcript is spliced from 8 exons. NCBI's taxonomy places the organism in Eukaryota, Viridiplantae, Streptophyta, Magnoliopsida, Solanales, Solanaceae.